UUGACGUAUUUUUCUUUUAGUGCAUGCUUGACUUGACUGAUCAGAAGAGUAUAACUCCUUGCUCGACAAUCAGUCUCCCACAAAUUUUCUUCCUUGGAGAACUCGGCAUGAAUCCGGUAUAAUUUGAUAAGGAUGCGCUCCGUCUGGCUGAAGACGUUAAACUUAGCGCUUGUUGGGAGGCAACCCAAUUUUCGUAGGUUAUUUUUGCAUUGCAUUAACAGGAUCCCUCAUAUUACUGAUGGAAUUACGGUAAAAUGCUUCUAUCCUC
RNAcentral lists this long non-coding RNA (268 nucleotides) under Phoenix dactylifera (date palm). Its description in RNAcentral is "long non-coding RNA (PDAC_LNC012164)". Lineage: Eukaryota; Viridiplantae; Streptophyta; Magnoliopsida; Arecales; Arecaceae. The record is from RNAcentral.